RNAcentral lists this ribosomal RNA (253 nucleotides) under uncultured bacterium. RNAcentral's name for it is "partial 16S ribosomal RNA". It matches the Rfam family "Bacterial small subunit ribosomal RNA", at positions 524 to 776 of the family's 1533-position model. The record is from RNAcentral.
UACGUAGGUGGCAAGCGUUGUUCGGAAUUACUGGGCGUAAAGGGCUCGUAGGUGGCCAACUAAGUCAGACGUGAAAUCCCUCGGCUUAACCUGGGAACUGCGUUUGAUACGGAUGGGCUAGAGUUCGGGAGAGGAGCGUGGAAUUCCCAGUGUAGAGGUGAAAUUCGUAGAUAUUGGGAAGAACACCGGUGGCGAAGGCGGCGCUCUGGACCGAGACUGACGCUGAGGCGCGAAAGCGUGGGGAGCAAACAGG